UACGGAGGGGGCUAGCGUUGUUCGGAAUUACUGGGCGUAAAGGGUGCGUAGGCGGGUCUUUAAGUCAGGGGUGAAAUCCUGGAGCUCAACUCCAGAACUGCCUUUGAUACUGAGGAUCUUGAGUACGGGAGAGGUGAGUGGAACUGCGAGUGUAGAGGUGAAAUUCGUAGAUAUUCGCAAGAACACCAGUGGCGAAGGCGGCUCACUGGCCCGUAACUGACGCUGAGGCACGAAAGCGUGGGGAGCAAACAGG
Molecule: ribosomal RNA, 253 nt
Filed under: uncultured bacterium
Lineage: Bacteria
Description: partial 16S ribosomal RNA
Rfam family: Bacterial small subunit ribosomal RNA
Source: RNAcentral